CGUAGUUGGAUCUCAGUUACAGACGGGCGGUCCACUUUACGGUGGCUACUGCCCGGCCUGAACGUCCUGCCGGUUUUUCUCUAGGUGCUCUUCAUUGAGUGUCUAGAGUGGCCGGCACGUUUACUUUGAAAAAAUUAGAGUGCUCAAAGCAGGCGUGACGCCUGAAUAAUGGUGCAUGGAAUAAUGGAAUAGGACCUCGGUUCUAUUGUGUUGGUUUUCGGAACACGAGGWAAUGAUUAAGAGGGACAGACGGGGGCAUUCGUAUUGCGACGYUAGAGGUGAAAUUCUUGGACCGUCSMAAGACRAACUACUGCGAAAGCAUUUGCCAAGAAUGUUUUCAUUAAUCAAGAACGAAAGUUAGAGGUUCGAAGGCRAUCAAAUMCCGCCCUAKUUCUAACCAUAAACGAUGCUGACCAGCGAUCCGCCUGAGUUUCUCAAUUGACUCGGCGGGCAGCUUCCGGRAAACCAAAGUU
This 473-nucleotide ribosomal RNA is filed under the name Stylocellus sp. Borneo 3. Its description in RNAcentral is "SSU rRNA". It matches the Rfam family "Eukaryotic small subunit ribosomal RNA", at positions 631 to 1116 of the family's 1831-position model. The record is from RNAcentral. Lineage: Eukaryota; Metazoa; Arthropoda; Arachnida; Opiliones; Stylocellidae.